UACGGGGGGAGCAAGCGUUGUUCGGAUUUACUGGGCGUAAAGGGCGCGUAGGCGGUCAGCACAAGUCAGUUGUGAAAUCUCCGGGCUUAACUCGGAAAGGUCAACUGAUACUGUGCGACUAGAGUGCAGAAGGGGCAACUGGAAUUCUCGGUGUAGCGGUGAAAUGCGUAGAUAUCGAGAGGAACACCUGCGGCGAAGGCGGGUUGCUGGGCUGACACUGACGCUGAUGCGCGAAAGCUAGGGUAGCAAACGGG
Molecule: ribosomal RNA, 254 nt
Filed under: uncultured bacterium
Lineage: Bacteria
Description: partial 16S ribosomal RNA
Rfam family: Bacterial small subunit ribosomal RNA
Source: RNAcentral